GACGAACGCUGGCGGCGUGCUUAACACAUGCAAGUCGAACGGAAAAGCCCUUCUUUUGUCUUCUGCUCGAGUGGCUAACUUCUAGUUAACACGUGAGUAAUCUGCCCUUGACUUUGUGCUAUCUUCAGGAAACUGAGACUCAUACCUGGUUGCUACUCCCGCUUCAUGGUGGGGGUUCGCAUGUUUCGGCGGUGGGGGAUGGACUCGCGGCUUAUCAGCUUGCUGGUGGGGUAGUGGAUUGCCAAGGCUUUGACUGGUAGCCGGCCUGAGCGGGUGGCCGGACACAUUGGGACUGAGAUAAGGCACAGACUCCUACGGGAGGCAGCGGUGGGGAAGAGUGCACAACGGGAGGAAGCAUGAUGCAGCAAAGCCGCGUGCGGGAUGAGGGCAAUCGGGUUGUAAACCGCUUUCGCCUGUGAAGAAGAGUGAGUGACGGUAAUGGGUAAAGAAGCACCGGCUAACUACGUG
RNAcentral lists this ribosomal RNA (468 nucleotides) under uncultured bacterium. Its description in RNAcentral is "partial 16S ribosomal RNA". It matches the Rfam family "Bacterial small subunit ribosomal RNA", at positions 28 to 507 of the family's 1533-position model. The record is from RNAcentral.